RNAcentral lists this ribosomal RNA (467 nucleotides) under uncultured Sphingobacteriales bacterium. RNAcentral describes it as "bacterial SSU rRNA". It matches the Rfam family "Bacterial small subunit ribosomal RNA", at positions 917 to 1381 of the family's 1533-position model. The record is from RNAcentral. Lineage: Bacteria; Pseudomonadati; Bacteroidota; Sphingobacteriia; Sphingobacteriales.
ACGGGGCCGCACAAGCGUGGAGCAUGUGGUUUAAUUCGAUGAUACGCGAGGAACCUUACCUGGGCUCGAACGUAAGAUGACUGUAGGUGAAAGCUUACAUCUCUUCGGAGCAUUUUACGAGGUGCUGCAUGGUUGUCGUCAGCUCGUGCCGUGAGGUGUCGGGUUAAGUCCCAUAAACGAGCGCAACCCCUACCUUUAGUUGCCAUCAGGUUAAGCUGGGGACUCUAAAGGAACUGCCUACGCAAGUAGUGAGGAAGGCGGGGAUGACGUCAAAUCAGCACGGCCCUUACGUCCAGGGCUACACACGUGCUACAAUGGCCGAUACAGAGGGCAGCUACCUGGUGACAGGAUGCAAAUCUCCAAAGUCGGUCUCAGUUCGGAUCGGAGUCUGCAACCCGACUCCGUGAAGUUGGAUUCGCUAGUAAUCGCGCAUCAGCCAUGGCGCGGUGAAUACGUUCCCGGGCCUU